Molecule: ribosomal RNA, 253 nt
Filed under: uncultured bacterium
Lineage: Bacteria
Description: partial 16S ribosomal RNA
Rfam family: Bacterial small subunit ribosomal RNA
Source: RNAcentral
UACGGAGGGGGCUAGCGUUGUUCGGAAAUACUGGGCGUAAAGCGCACGUAGGCGGCGCAGCAAGUCAGGGGUGAAAUCCCGGGGCUCAACCCCGGAACUGCCUUUGAAACUGCAGUGCUAGAAUUCUGGAGAGGCGAGUGGAAUUCCGAGUGUAGAGGUGAAAUUCGUAGAUAUUCGGAAGAACACCAGUGGCGAAGGCGACUCGCUGGACAGAUAUUGACGCUGAGGUGCGAAAGCGUGGGGAGCAAACAGG